This 719-nucleotide ribosomal RNA is filed under the name Microbacterium sp. RNAcentral describes it as "bacterial SSU rRNA". It matches the Rfam family "Bacterial small subunit ribosomal RNA", at positions 95 to 827 of the family's 1533-position model. Lineage: Bacteria; Bacillati; Actinomycetota; Actinomycetes; Micrococcales; Microbacteriaceae. The record is from RNAcentral.
GUGGCGAACGGGUGAGUAACACGUGAGCAACCUGCCCCUGACUCUGGGAUAAGCGCUGGAAACGGCGUCUAAUACUGGAUAUGUGACGUGAUCGCAUGGUCUGCGUCUGGAAAGAUUUUUCGGUUGGGGAUGGGCUCGCGGCCUAUCAGCUUGUUGGUGAGGUAAUGGCUCACCAAGGCGUCGACGGGUAGCCGGCCUGAGAGGGUGACCGGCCACACUGGGACUGAGACACGGCCCAGACUCCUACGGGAGGCAGCAGUGGGGAAUAUUGCACAAUGGGCGCAAGCCUGAUGCAGCAACGCCGCGUGAGGGAUGACGGCCUUCGGGUUGUAAACCUCUUUUAGCAGGGAAGAAGCGAAAGUGACGGUACCUGCAGAAAAAGCGCCGGCUAACUACGUGCCAGCAGCCGCGGUAAUACGUAGGGCGCAAGCGUUAUCCGGAAUUAUUGGGCGUAAAGAGCUCGUAGGCGGUUUGUCGCGUCUGCUGUGAAAUCCCGAGGCUCAACCUCGGGCCUGCAGUGGGUACGGGCAGACUAGAGUGCGGUAGGGGAGAUUGGAAUUCCUGGUGUAGCGGUGGAAUGCGCAGAUAUCAGGAGGAACACCGAUGGCGAAGGCAGAUCUCUGGGCCGUAACUGACGCUGAGGAGCGAAAGGGUGGGGAGCAAACAGGCUUAGAUACCCUGGUAGUCCACCCCGUAAACGUUGGGAACUAGUUGUGGGG